This 65-nucleotide transfer RNA is filed under the name Pseudolycoriella sp. XQM-2020. Its description in RNAcentral is "tRNA-Pro". The record is from RNAcentral. Lineage: Eukaryota; Metazoa; Arthropoda; Insecta; Diptera; Sciaridae.
CAAAAAGUAGUUUAAAUAAAAUAUUAAUUUUGGAGAUUAAAGAUAAAAUAAUAUUUUCUUUCUGA